AAUUGAAGAGUUUGAUCAUGGCUCAGAUUGAACGCUGGCGGCAGGCCUAACACAUGCAAGUCGAACGGUAACAGGAAACAGCUUGCUGUUUCGCUGACGAGUGGCGGACGGGUGAGUAAUGUCUGGGAAACUGCCUGAUGGAGGGGGAUAACUACUGGAAACGGUAGCUAAUACCGCAUAACGUCGCAAGACCAAAGAGGGGGACCUUCGGGCCUCUUGCCAUCGGAUGUGCCCAGAUGGGAUUAGCUUGUUGGUGGGGUAACGGCUCACCAAGGCGACGAUCCCUAGCUGGUCUGAGAGGAUGACCAGCCACACUGGAACUGAGACACGGUCCAGACUCCUACGGGAGGCAGCAGUGGGGAAUAUUGCACAAUGGGCGCAAGCCUGAUGCAGCCAUGCCGCGUGUAUGAAGAAGGCCUUCGGGUUGUAAAGUACUUUCAGCGGGGAGGAAGGGAGUAAAGUUAAUACCUUUGCUCAUUGACGUUACCCGCAGAAGAAGCACCGGCUAACUCCGUGCCAGCAGCCGCGGUAAUACGGAGGGUGCAAGCGUUAAUCGGAAUUACUGGGCGUAAAGCGCACGCAGGCGGUUUGUUAAGUCAGAUGUGAAAUCCCCGGGCUCAACCUGGGAACUGCAUCUGAUACUGGCAAGCUUGAGUCUCGUAGAGGGGGGUAGAAUUCCAGGUGUAGCGGUGAAAUGCGUAGAGAUCUGGAGGAAUACCGGUGGCGAAGGCGGCCCCCUGGACGAAGACUGACGCUCAGGUGCGAAAGCGUGGGGAGCAAACAGGAUUAGAUACCCUGGUAGUCCACGCCGUAAACGAUGUCGACUUGGAGGUUGUGCCCUUGAGGCGUGGCUUCCGGAGCUAACGCGUUAAGUCGACCGCCUGGGGAGUACGGCCGCAAGGUUAAAACUCAAAUGAAUUGACGGGGGCCCGCACAAGCGGUGGAGCAUGUGGUUUAAUUCGAUGCAACGCGAAGAACCUUACCUGGUCUUGACAUCCACAGAACUUUCCAGAGAUGGAUUGGUGCCUUCGGGAACUGUGAGACAGGUGCUGCAUGGCUGUCGUCAGCUCGUGUUGUGAAAUGUUGGGUUAAGUCCCGCAACGAGCGCAACCCUUAUCCUUUGUUGCCAGCGGUCCGGCCGGGAACUCAAAGGAGACUGCCAGUGAUAAACUGGAGGAAGGUGGGGAUGACGUCAAGUCAUCAUGGCCCUUACGACCAGGGCUACACACGUGCUACAAUGGCGCAUACAAAGAGAAGCGACCUCGCGAGAGCAAGCGGACCUCAUAAAGUGCGUCGUAGUCCGGAUUGGAGUCUGCAACUCGACUCCAUGAAGUCGGAAUCGCUAGUAAUCGUGGAUCAGAAUGCCACGGUGAAUACGUUCCCGGGCCUUGUACACACCGCCCGUCACACCAUGGGAGUGGGUUGCAAAAGAAGUAGGUAGCUUAACCUUCGGGAGGGCGCUUACCACUUUGUGAUUCAUGACUGGGGUGAAGUCGUAACAAGGUAACCGUAGGGGAACCUGCGGUUGGA
This 1530-nucleotide ribosomal RNA is filed under the name Escherichia coli. Its description in RNAcentral is "bacterial SSU rRNA". It matches the Rfam family "Bacterial small subunit ribosomal RNA". Lineage: Bacteria; Pseudomonadati; Pseudomonadota; Gammaproteobacteria; Enterobacterales; Enterobacteriaceae. The record is from RNAcentral.